CUCCCGCUAACGUCUUUUCCGCGUCCCGCUCCUGAGAACCUUGGCUCGGGAGAGCGACGCAGGCCCUCGGGGCUGCGCAGGCCGGCGCCCUGACUGCGCCCACACGAGAGCAAGGCUCGCUCACCGCCCCUGCCCUCACCUUCACCUCCUCGAGAGCGAGGCCCAGAAGCAGAGGCUUGGCCCCAAGUUUGCGUCGGGGCCUCCUAAUCCUUGGCGUGGUGUGUCUCUGGUCAUUUGGGGUUCUUGAGUACCAGGGACAGCGCCUGGCCCCCGGAUUUCUGUGCACGUGACCCGGCGGGGCAGGAAAGGAAAUUUGGAGUUUUAGGGGCGCACGUGGUUCUCACAGUCCCCACAAGAGGUCUUCCCUGGAGGGUUCCGGCAGCCACAGCGUGAAGCAGGGCCAGGAACGGUGAAACAGUGCCCCCGGAGGAGGAGGAAGGGUCGCAGGGGGCAGCGACGGGGCCUGGGGCCUUGCAGGGGACAGUGACAAAGAGCCCAGGAAGCCAUUCUGCCCAGGGGAACACCGCGCGUUUCCAGUUCAAAUUUCCCGUUUCAUAAUGGUGCAUCAUCCGGGAAUUUUAUAAGUCAAUCCUCUUCACGUCGAACGACAAAGAGCCCAGGAAGCCAUUCUGCCCAGGGGAACACCGCGCGUUUCCAGUUCAAAUUUCCCGUUUCAUAAUGGUGCAUCAUCCGGGAAUUUUAUAAGUCAAUCCUCUUCACGUCGAACGAUGGGAAGCAUGUCAUCCAUACUACAUAAAGACAGCCCCUAAGACGCAUCCUCAAAAAAUUGGGAUAAAUUUGACCUACAGACCUGAAAAAAAAAUAGUGCCUGAUUUCUCUUUGCCCUCAGGUUUGGCCUCAAUACCAACUUUCUGUAGGAAAAAUGGGAAGUAGUUGGAAGUCACAUAUGUCCAGGCUUUCUUUACUCUAGGGGACAGCCAAAGGUAGGCAGGGAAACUGUAAACUUAGUCUUUUGCUCUUAGCAAUAACAAUCCAAAGUCCACCCAGGGAAAGGUGGAGACCAUGCCCCCGCCCAGGAUUGAGCCAAUCUUAACUUGCCCCAAGACAAAUGAAGGAUCUGGUCGUACUUUAGCCUAGAUUCCCUUCUCACCCUGGGACAUGACACAAAUUAAAAAUAAUUUAGGAAAGUUCUUGGAAGACUCUGACAAAUAUAUUAAGGUUUUCCAAACCCUUAUUCAAGUGUAUAAUCUCUCAUACAGAGAAUUAGAGACACCAUGUUCAUAUUAAACUUGACCCUCUCAGCAACUGAAAAGCAAGGAAUACUAGAAAAAGCAAGAGAAUCUGGAGAUAACCAUUUUCUUACUUAUGCCAGGGAAAUAAAGGACUCUGAGCAAAGAAGUAGGGAUAUAACAGGACAGGAGUCCCUCAGUAGAAUCCUGAAACUAAAAGGUAGAAAAUAAACCACUGCCAGUUCUGUAUUAUAGAAGGCCUCAGAUGUAGUAAAACAAAGCCUGUCAGCUACUCUAAAUUAACCACCAUUCAUCAAGGGGAUGACAAAAACCCCUCAGCUUUUUAGAAAGGCUCAGGGAGGCAUUGGUUAAGUACACCAGCAUUACCCCAGAUUCAGAAUUGGGACAACUAAUUUUAAAGGACAAAUUUAUCACUCAGGCAGUCCCAGACAUUAGGAGGUUGCAAGAAUUGGCUAUUGGUCCCAAGAGUAAUUUAGAAAAUCUCCUGAAAGUUACCACCUCUGUGUUCUAUAAUAGAGACCAGGAGAAGGAAAAAAGGAGAAACAGGAAAAGCCAGAACUAAGGCUCUUUGUGCCAUGCUCCAGAAGAGCAAGGGCUCCAAGUCAGAGCCCAGAGGUGAAUGGUCAGUCCCAGCCACCUGCUACAACUGUAGAGAGGUUGGACUUAUCCACCGUAGUUGCUCCAAGGAGCAUGGCAGACCCCAAAGCCCUGUCCUGUCUGUCAAGGAAAUCAUGGUAAGUCAACUGCCCCAGGAGGUGGAGGUUCCUUGGGGCAGGGCUGGCGACCCAGCUGGCCCAACAGGACUGAUGGGGCUCGGGGUCUCUCACUGCUGCUCCUCAGAGGACUGCCAUCUCCACCGAGGAGCCCCGGGUAAGUCUGACAGUGGGGGGCAAGGAAAUUAAUUUCCUACCCAAUGCUGGAGCCACCUUCUCUGUAUUCCUCCCAAACCCUCAGAGGCUGUAGCUGUUACAGGUUUAUCUGGGAAGCCAUGAGAGAGAUAUUUUUCUCAGCCUUCAGGGUGCAGCUAGGGUAAGUUGCCUGUUUCCCAUGCCUUCCAGAUCCUGCAGAAAGCCUCAUAUCCACUUCAGAGACAGUAUCCUCUGAACCCUGAGGCUCUAGAACCGUGGUUCUCAACAUUCCUAAUGCCGCGACCCUUUAAAACAGUUCCUCAUGUUGUGGUGACCCCCAACCAUAAAAUUAUUUUCAUUGCUACUUCAUAACUGUAAUUUUGC
Long non-coding RNA from Myotis myotis, 2443 nucleotides. RefSeq lists it as uncharacterized. The transcript has 4 exons. The record is from RefSeq and is a predicted model, not a curated record. Lineage: Eukaryota; Metazoa; Chordata; Mammalia; Chiroptera; Vespertilionidae.